Molecule: long non-coding RNA, 666 nt
Organism: Daphnia pulicaria
Lineage: Eukaryota; Metazoa; Arthropoda; Branchiopoda; Diplostraca; Daphniidae
Exons: 3
Source: RefSeq, a predicted model, not a curated record
UUCUUUGCUGAUUAGUAGAUAGGGUUGGUUUCAAGGGGGCGUUUGAUUUUGGUGAAUGAAAAUGUUCAGUAUUGUUGAAUAUUUGGCUCGUGUUGGUUGUGUUUACGCUUCAGUGAACGGAAUUCAAAGUCCAAAUUAAUUGAUUUCUUCAAUUCAUCUGCCAGUGCAAUAAUUAAGGGAUAUGCAACUCCUUUAAAAGAAUAUUACUGUAAGUUGAGGGGAAAUAUGUCUAGCGAGAAAAUUGCGAUAGGAUUUGACAAGCAAUUUCGGACUUCGUUUAAAAUUAAUAUGGGAACACAAUGAUUACAAGCAUCUCAAGGUAAAUCAUAGGUUACAUUUAAAGAUCCAGACACUGGCGCACAUACCAAUCAGAUUGAGGGUCUUUCGAACUUAGCAAAAAAAAGUAUGCCACAAACAAAUCGUAACAAACAAAUGAUUAGUAGCUAUUUGGCAACAUUUAUGCUUCAUCAAAAAUGGCAAGGAAUCGAUGGGUUUUUAAUGUUUAUGCAAUACGCAGCAAAAUUGUAUGGAUAUGGAGUCAAGAGAUUGAACAAACUGCAUCAACAUCAACAAAGCGCGCAAAAAAUAAUUAAUUUUUUUUUUGAUUAUUCGAUUAUGUUACAAACGAAAUUUAAUUGUAAAGCCAAUAUUCUGCUGAUCAAUGUU